UGGGGAAUUUUGGACAAUGGGGGCAACCCUGAUCCAGCUAUGCCGCGUGCGGGAAGAAGGCCUUCGGGUUGUAAACCGCUUUUAGCCGGGAAGAAAGGGCAGCACCUAAUACGGGCUGUUCUUGACGGUACCGGCGGAAUAAGCACCGGCUAACUACGUGCCAGCAGCCGCGGUAAUACGUAGGGUGCGCGCGUUAAUCGGAAUUGCUGGGCGUAAAGCGUGCGCAGGCGGUUCGUUAAGUUCGUUGUGAAAGCCCCGGGCUCAACCUAGGAACGGCAAUGGAAACUGGCGGGCUUGAAUGCGGCAGAGGGGGGUGGAAUUCCGCGUGUAGCAGUGAAAUGCGUAGAGAUGCGGAGGAACACCGAUGGCGAAGGCAGCCCCCUGGGCCGACAUUGACGCUCAGGCACGAAAGCGUGGGGAGCAAAC
RNAcentral lists this ribosomal RNA (426 nucleotides) under uncultured bacterium. Its description in RNAcentral is "bacterial SSU rRNA". It matches the Rfam family "Bacterial small subunit ribosomal RNA", at positions 355 to 773 of the family's 1533-position model. The record is from RNAcentral.